GACGAACGCUGGCGGCGUGCUUAACACAUGCAAGUCGAACGGGAAGGCCCUGCUUUUGUGGGGUGCUCGAGUGGCGAACGGGUGAGUAACACGUGAGUAACCUGCCCUUGACUUUGGGAUAACUUCAGGAAACUGGGGCUAAUACCGGAUAGGAGCUCCUGCUGCAUGGUGGGGGUUGGAAAGUUUCGGCGGUUGGGGAUGGACUCGCGGCUUAUCAGCUUGUUGGUGGGGUAGUGGCUUACCAAGGCUUUGACGGGUAGCCGGCCUGAGAGGGUGACCGGCCACAUUGGGACUGAGAUACGGCCCAGACUCCUACGGGAGGCAGCAGUGGGGAAUAUUGCACAAUGGGCGGAAGCCUGAUGCAGCAACGCCGCGUGCGGGAUGACGGCCUUCGGGGUGUAAACCGCUUUCGCCUGUGACGAAGCGUGAGUGACGGUAAUGGGUAAAGAAGCACCGGCUAACUACGUG
This 468-nucleotide ribosomal RNA is filed under the name uncultured bacterium. RNAcentral describes it as "partial 16S ribosomal RNA". It matches the Rfam family "Bacterial small subunit ribosomal RNA", at positions 28 to 507 of the family's 1533-position model. The record is from RNAcentral.